GGUGGAGACUUCCAAAGGGAUCGCAUUGAUCUAAUUAUAUUCGGCACUUUGAUCAGUGUACGUAUUUAAUUAAUUAUUAGUACUUUACUAAUUUCAGUUCAUUUUAUUGGAUCAUGCGAUCCCUUAGGAAGUUUCCAU
This is a non-coding RNA of Morus notabilis, 138 nucleotides long. NCBI's taxonomy places the organism in Eukaryota, Viridiplantae, Streptophyta, Magnoliopsida, Rosales, Moraceae. The record is from Rfam.